CUCGUGCCAGCCACCGCGGUUAUACGAGUUGGCCCAAGUUGACAGACAACGGCGUAAAGAGUGGUUAAGGAAAAUAAAAACUAAAGCCGAACACCUUCAAAGCUGUCAUACGCUCCCGAAGAUAUGAAGCCCAACCACGAAAGUGACUUUACAUAACCUGAACCCACGAAAGCUAAGAAACAAACUGGGAUUAGAUACCCCACUAUG
Molecule: ribosomal RNA, 207 nt
Filed under: Trachinotus carolinus (Florida pompano)
Lineage: Eukaryota; Metazoa; Chordata; Actinopteri; Carangiformes; Carangidae
Description: partial small subunit ribosomal RNA
Source: RNAcentral